This 2924-nucleotide ribosomal RNA is filed under the name Escherichia coli. Its description in RNAcentral is "23S ribosomal RNA". It matches the Rfam family "Bacterial large subunit ribosomal RNA". The record is from RNAcentral. Lineage: Bacteria; Pseudomonadati; Pseudomonadota; Gammaproteobacteria; Enterobacterales; Enterobacteriaceae.
GGGUUGUGAGGUUAAGCGACUAAGCGUACACGGUGGAUGCCCUGGCAGUCAGAGGCGAUGAAGGACGUGCUAAUCUGCGAUAAGCGUCGGUAAGGUGAUAUGAACCGUUAUAACCGGCGAUUUCCGAAUGGGGAAACCCAGUGUGUUUCGACACACUAUCAUUAACUGAAUCCAUAGGUUAAUGAGGCGAACCGGGGGAACUGAAACAUCUAAGUACCCCGAGGAAAAGAAAUCAACCGAGAUUCCCCCAGUAGCGGCGAGCGAACGGGGAGCAGCCCAGAGCCUGAAUCAGUGUGUGUGUUAGUGGAAGCGUCUGGAAAGGCGCGCGAUACAGGGUGACAGCCCCGUACACAAAAAUGCACAUAUUGUGAGCUCGAUGAGUAGGGCGGGACACGUGGUAUCCUGUCUGAAUAUGGGGGGACCAUCCUCCAAGGCUAAAUACUCCUGACUGACCGAUAGUGAACCAGUACCGUGAGGGAAAGGCGAAAAGAACCCCGGCGAGGGGAGUGAAAAAGAACCUGAAACCGUGUACGUACAAGCAGUGGGAGCCUCUUUUAUGGGGUGACUGCGUACCUUUUGUAUAAUGGGUCAGCGACUUAUAUUCUGUAGCAAGGUUAACCGAAUAGGGGAGCCGAAGGGAAACCGAGUCUUAACUGGGCGUUAAGUUGCAGGGUAUAGACCCGAAACCCGGUGAUCUAGCCAUGGGCAGGUUGAAGGUUGGGUAACACUAACUGGAGGACCGAACCGACUAAUGUUGAAAAAUUAGCGGAUGACUUGUGGCUGGGGGUGAAAGGCCAAUCAAACCGGGAGAUAGCUGGUUCUCCCCGAAAGCUAUUUAGGUAGCGCCUCGUGAAUUCAUCUCCGGGGGUAGAGCACUGUUUCGGCAAGGGGGUCAUCCCGACUUACCAACCCGAUGCAAACUGCGAAUACCGGAGAAUGUUAUCACGGGAGACACACGGCGGGUGCUAACGUCCGUCGUGAAGAGGGAAACAACCCAGACCGCCAGCUAAGGUCCCAAAGUCAUGGUUAAGUGGGAAACGAUGUGGGAAGGCCCAGACAGCCAGGAUGUUGGCUUAGAAGCAGCCAUCAUUUAAAGAAAGCGUAAUAGCUCACUGGUCGAGUCGGCCUGCGCGGAAGAUGUAACGGGGCUAAACCAUGCACCGAAGCUGCGGCAGCGACGCUGAUGCGUUGUUGGGUAGGGGAGCGUUCUGUAAGCCUGUGAAGGUGUGCUGUGAGGCAUGCUGGAGGUAUCAGAAGUGCGAAUGCUGACAUAAGUAACGAUAAAGCGGGUGAAAAGCCCGCUCGCCGGAAGACCAAGGGUUCCUGUCCAACGUUAAUCGGGGCAGGGUGAGUCGACCCCUAAGGCGAGGCCGAAAGGCGUAGUCGAUGGGAAACAGGUUAAUAUUCCUGUACUUGGUGUUACUGCGAAGGGGGACGGAGAAGGCUAUGUUGGCCGGGCGACGGUUGUCCCGGUUUAAGCGUGUAGGCUGGUUUUCCAGGCAAAUCCGGAAAAUCAAGGCUGAGGCGUGAUGACGAGGCACUACGGUGCUGAAGCAACAAAUGCCCUGCUUCCAGGAAAAGCCUCUAAGCAUCAGGUAACAUCAAAUCGUACCCCAAACCGACACAGGUGGUCAGGUAGAGAAUACCAAGGCGCUUGAGAGAACUCGGGUGAAGGAACUAGGCAAAAUGGUGCCGUAACUUCGGGAGAAGGCACGCUGAUACGUAGGUGAAGUCCCUCGCGGAUGGAGCUGAAAUCAGUCGAAGAUACCAGCUGGCUGCAACUGUUUAUUAAAAACACAGCACUGUGCAAACACGAAAGUGGACGUAUACGGUGUGACGCCUGCCCGGUGCCGGAAGGUUAAUUGAUGGGGUCAGCGCAAGCGAAGCUCUUGAUCGAAGCCCCGGUAAACGGCGGCCGUAACUAUAACGGUCCUAAGGUAGCGAAAUUCCUUGUCGGGUAAGUUCCGACCUGCACGAAUGGCGUAAUGAUGGCCAGGCUGUCUCCACCCGAGACUCAGUGAAAUUGAACUCGCUGUGAAGAUGCAGUGUACCCGCGGCAAGACGGAAAGACCCCGUGAACCUUUACUAUAGCUUGACACUGAACAUUGAGCCUUGAUGUGUAGGAUAGGUGGGAGGCUUGGAAGUGUGGACGCCAGUCUGCAUGGAGCCGACCUUGAAAUACCACCCUUUAAUGUUUGAUGUUCUAACGUUGACCCGUAAUCCGGGUUGCGGACAGUGUCUGGUGGGUAGUUUGACUGGGGCGGUCUCCUCCUAAAGAGUAACGGAGGAGCACGAAGGUUGGCUAAUCCUGGUCGGACAUCAGGAGGUUAGUGCAAUGGCAUAAGCCAGCUUGACUGCGAGCGUGACGGCGCGAGCAGGUGCGAAAGCAGGUCAUAGUGAUCCGGUGGUUCUGAAUGGAAGGGCCAUCGCUCAACGGAUAAAAGGUACUCCGGGGAUAACAGGCUGAUACCGCCCAAGAGUUCAUAUCGACGGCGGUGUUUGGCACCUCGAUGUCGGCUCAUCACAUCCUGGGGCUGAAGUAGGUCCCAAGGGUAUGGCUGUUCGCCAUUUAAAGUGGUACGCGAGCUGGGUUUAGAACGUCGUGAGACAGUUCGGUCCCUAUCUGCCGUGGGCGCUGGAGAACUGAGGGGGGCUGCUCCUAGUACGAGAGGACCGGAGUGGACGCAUCACUGGUGUUCGGGUUGUCAUGCCAAUGGCACUGCCCGGUAGCUAAAUGCGGAAGAGAUAAGUGCUGAAAGCAUCUAAGCACGAAACUUGCCCCGAGAUGAGUUCUCCCUGACCCUUUAAGGGUCCUGAAGGAACGUUGAAGACGACGACGUUGAUAGGCCGGGUGUGUAAGCGCAGCGAUGCGUUGAGCUAACCGGUACUAAUGAACCGUGAGGCUUAACCUUACAACGCCGAAG